RNAcentral lists this non-coding RNA (30 nucleotides) under Mus musculus (house mouse). Lineage: Eukaryota; Metazoa; Chordata; Mammalia; Rodentia; Muridae. The record is from RNAcentral.
UUGCAUGUAUGUUUGUGUGGGGCUCACCUG